This is a long non-coding RNA of Argiope bruennichi, 404 nucleotides long. RefSeq lists it as uncharacterized. The transcript has 3 exons. The record is from RefSeq and is a predicted model, not a curated record. NCBI's taxonomy places the organism in Eukaryota, Metazoa, Arthropoda, Arachnida, Araneae, Araneidae.
UUAUUUUUAUAUUUAGCUAAGAUGACAGUUAUAAAUUUUAUCUUAGUAAUAUCUCAGUGAUAUUAGGAUUGGGUUUGCUUAAUAUUUCUUUCAAAACAGAGUGCGUUAGCCAAAAUUGUGGCAAUCGUUUGCCAUUAAGGUUGGGGAUUUAAAGAUGAGUUCUUCAAUAUUGGACUGAGUUUUGAUUAACAUAGCGAAGAACCUAUCGUUUUCGUUAUCGAAUUACAGAAUUGUUUGAUUUCAUAAUGCCAUAUGAGCGUAUGGAAAGUUAUGAAAGUUUCUCAGUUGAAAUGCAAAGAAGGAGGUAAUCUAAUCCUAAGACAUUAAUCAGGUAUGGAAAGUUAUGAAAGUUUCUCAGUUGAAAUGCAAAGAAGGAGGUAAUCUAAUCCUAAGACAUUAAUCAG